GAGCGGUGAAAUGCGUAGAUAUCUGGAGGAACACCGGUGGCGAAGGCGGCUCUCUGGUCCACAACUGACGCUGAGGUGCGAAAGCUAGGGGAGCAAACGGGAUUAGAUACCCCGGUAGUCCACGCCGUAAACGUUGUGCACUAGGUGCAGGAGGUAUCGACCCCUUCUGUGCCGCAGCUAACGCAUUAAGUGCACCGCCUGGGGAGU
RNAcentral lists this ribosomal RNA (207 nucleotides) under uncultured Stichotrichia. RNAcentral's name for it is "partial Bacterial small subunit ribosomal RNA". It matches the Rfam family "Bacterial small subunit ribosomal RNA", at positions 676 to 881 of the family's 1533-position model. Lineage: Eukaryota; Ciliophora; Spirotrichea. The record is from RNAcentral.